CCUACGGGCGGCAGCAGUGAGGAAUAUUGGUCAAUGGACGAGAGUCUGAACCAGCCAAGUAGCGUGAAGGAUGACUGCCCUAUGGGUUGUAAACUUCUUUUAUAUGGGAAUAAAAUGUUCCACGUGUGGGAUUUUGUAUGUACCAUAUGAAUAAGGAUUGGCUAACUCCGUGCCAGCCGCCGCGGUAAUACGGAGGAUCCGAGCGUUAUCCGGAUUUAUUGGGUUUAAAGGGAGCGUAGGUGGAUUGUUAAGUCAGUUGUGAAAGUUUGCGGCUCAACCGUAAAAUUGCAGUUGAAACUGGCAGUCUUGAGUACAGUAGAGGUGGGCGGAAUGCGUGGUGUAGCGGUGAAAUGCUUAGAUAUCACGAAGAACUCCGAUUGCGAAGGCAGCUCACUGGACUGCAACUGACACUGAGGCUCGAAAGUGUGGGUAUCAAACAGGAUUAGAUACCCUUGUAGUC
This 460-nucleotide ribosomal RNA is filed under the name uncultured bacterium. RNAcentral describes it as "partial 16S ribosomal RNA". It matches the Rfam family "Bacterial small subunit ribosomal RNA", at positions 338 to 795 of the family's 1533-position model. The record is from RNAcentral.